CCUCUUUCAGCAGGGAACGAAGCGAAAGUGACGGUACCUGCAGAAGAAGCGCCGGCUAACUACGUGCCAGCAGCCGCGGUAAUACGUAGGGUGCAAGCGUUGUCCGGAUUUAUUGGGCGUAAAGAGCUCGUAGGCGGUUAGACACGUCGGAUGUGAAAACUGGGGGCUCAACCCCCAGCCUGCAUUCGAUACGGUCUGACUAGAGUGUGGUAGGGGUAACUGGAAUUCCUGGUGUAGCGGUGAAAUGCGCAGAUAUCAGGAGGAACACCGAUGGCGAAGGCAGGUUACUGGGCCACCACUGACGCUGAGGAGCGAAAGCGUGGGGAGCAAACAGGAUUAGAUACCCUGGUAGUCCACGCCGU
Molecule: ribosomal RNA, 362 nt
Filed under: uncultured Actinomycetes bacterium
Lineage: Bacteria; Bacillati; Actinomycetota; Actinomycetes
Description: bacterial SSU rRNA
Rfam family: Bacterial small subunit ribosomal RNA
Source: RNAcentral